GAGUUUGAUCGUGGCUCAGGAUGAACGUUGGCGGCGUGCCUAACACAUGCAAGUCGAACGAUCCUUCGGGAUAGUGGCGCACGGGUGAGUAACACGUAGCUUACCUCCCUCUCAGCGCGGGAUAACGACUCGAAAGAGUUGCUAAUACCGCAUAAGCUCACGGUUUCUAGAGAAUUGUGAGAAAAGGCGUAAGUCACUGAGAGAUGGGGCUGCGGCCCAUCAGCUAGUUGGUGUGGUAAUGGCACACCAAGGCGACGACGGGUAGGGGACCUGAGAGGGUGACCCCCCACACUGGGACUGAGACACGGCCCAGACUCCUACGGGAGGCAGCAGUGAGGAAUAUUGCACAAUGGGCGCAAGCCUGAUGCAGCGACGCCGCGUGGGUGAAGAAGGUCUUCGGAUCGUAAAGCCCUUUUCUGCGUGACGAGAGAGGACGGUAGCGCAGGAAUAAGUCUCGGCUAACUACGUGCCAG
This 473-nucleotide ribosomal RNA is filed under the name uncultured Anaerolineae bacterium. RNAcentral describes it as "bacterial SSU rRNA". It matches the Rfam family "Bacterial small subunit ribosomal RNA", at positions 9 to 511 of the family's 1533-position model. Lineage: Bacteria; Bacillati; Chloroflexota; Anaerolineae. The record is from RNAcentral.